GGGAGUGUAGCUCAGUGGUAGAGAACUUGCCUAGCAUGCAUGAGUCCUGAGUUCCAUCCCCAGCACUGCAA
This 71-nucleotide transfer RNA is filed under the name Marmota marmota marmota (Alpine marmot). It matches the Rfam family "tRNA". Rfam says of the family: Transfer RNA (tRNA) molecules are approximately 80 nucleotides in length. Their secondary structure includes four short double-helical elements and three loops (D, anti-codon, and T loops). The record is from Rfam by way of RNAcentral. RNAcentral also lists the same sequence under 1 other name. Lineage: Eukaryota; Metazoa; Chordata; Mammalia; Rodentia; Sciuridae.